RNAcentral lists this ribosomal RNA (1483 nucleotides) under uncultured Bordetella sp. Its description in RNAcentral is "partial 16S-23S ribosomal RNA intergenic spacer". It matches the Rfam family "Bacterial small subunit ribosomal RNA". The record is from RNAcentral. Lineage: Bacteria; Pseudomonadati; Pseudomonadota; Betaproteobacteria; Burkholderiales; Alcaligenaceae.
GGUUUGAUUCUGGCUCAGAUUGAACGCUGGCGGGAUGCUUUACAUGCAAGUCGAACGGCAGCACGGACUUCGGUCUGGUGGCGAGUGGCGAACGGGUGAGUAAUGUAUCCGGAACGUGCCUAGUAGCGGGGGAUAACUACGCGAAAGCGUAGCUAAUACCGCAUACGCCCUUCGGGGAAAGCGGGGACCUUCCGGGCCUCGCACUAUUAAACGGCCGAUAUCCGGAUUAGCUAGUUGGUGGAGUAACGGCUCACCAAGGCGACGAUCCGUAGCUGGUUUGAGGAGGACGACCAGCCACACUGGGACUGAGACACGGCCCAGACUCCUGCAGGAGGCAGCAGUGGGGAAUUUUGGACAAUGGGGGAAACCCUGAUCCAGCCAUCCCGCGUGUGCGAUGAAGGCCUUCGGUUGUAAAGCACUUUUGGCAGGAAAGAAACGGCACAGGAUAAUACCCCGUGCAACUGACGGUACCUGCAGAAUAAGCACCGGCUUAACUACGUGCCAACGGCCGCGGUAAUACGUAGGGUGCAAGCGUUAAUCGGAAUUACUGGGCGUAAAGCGUGCGCAGGCGGUUCGGAAAGAAAGAUGUGAAAUCCCAGAGCUUAACUUUGGAACUGCAUUUUUAACUACCGAGCUAGAGUGUGUCAGAGGGAGGUGGAAUUCCGCGUGUAGCAGUGAAAUGCGUAGAUAUGCGGAGGGGCACCGAUGGCGAAGGCAGCCUCCUGGGAUAACGACGCUCAUGCACGAAAGCGUGGGAGCAAACAGGAUUAGAUACCCUGCCGUGGUCCACACGCCCUAAACGAUAUCAACUAGCUGUUGGGGCCUUCGGGCCUUGGUAGCGCAGCUAACGCGUGAAGUUGACCGCCUGGGGAGUACGGUCGCAAGAUUAAAACUCAAAGGAAUUGACGGGGACCCGCACAAGCGGUGGAUGAUGUGGAUUAAUUCGAUGCAACGCGAAAAACCGCCUACCCUUGACAUGUCUGGGAAUCCCAAAGAGAUUUGGGAGUGCUCAUAAGAGAACCGGAACACAGGUGCUGUGGCUGUCGUCAGCUGUUGUCGUGAAGAUGUUAGGUUAAGUCCCGCAACGAGCGCAACCCUUGUCAUUAGUUGCUGAAAGAGGCACUCUAAUGAGACUGCCGGUGACAAACCGGAGGAAGGUGGGGAUGACGUCAAGUCCUCAUGGCCCUUAUGGGUAGGGCCCCUACCACACGUCAUACAAUGGUCGGGACAGAGGGUCGCCAACCCGCGAGAAGCCAAUCCCAGAAACCCGAUCGUAGUCCGGAUCGCAGUCUGCAACUCGACUGCGUGAAGUCGGAAUCGCUGGUAAUCGCGGAUCAGCAUGUCGCGGUGAAUACGUUCCCGGGUCUUGUACACCGCCCGUCACACCAUGGGAGUGGGUUUUACCAGAAGUAGUUAGCCUAACCGUAAGGAGGGCGAUUACCACGGUAGGAUUCAUGACUGGGGUGAAGUCGUAACAAGGUAG